GCGCAGCAGGCGCGAAACCUCCGCAAUACACGAAAGUGUGACGGGGCCAUCCCGAGUGCCGUCCGCUGAGGACGGCUUUUCCCCAGUGUACACAGCUGGGGGAAUAAGGAGAGGGCAAGCCUGGUGUCAGCCGCCGCGGUAAGUACCAGCUCUCCGAGUGGUGGGGACGCUUAUUGGGCCUAAAGCAAGUCCGUAGCCGGCUGGGCAAGUCCUCCGUUAAAUCCAACGAUUCAAUCGUUGGGCUGCGGGGGAUACUGGUCCAGCUUGGGGGCGGGAGAGGCCGACGGUAGUCCCGGGGUA
Molecule: ribosomal RNA, 300 nt
Filed under: uncultured microorganism
Description: bacterial SSU rRNA
Rfam family: Archaeal small subunit ribosomal RNA
Source: RNAcentral